Molecule: ribosomal RNA, 287 nt
Filed under: uncultured Pelotomaculum sp.
Lineage: Bacteria; Bacillati; Bacillota; Clostridia; Eubacteriales; Desulfotomaculaceae
Description: partial 16S ribosomal RNA
Rfam family: Bacterial small subunit ribosomal RNA
Source: RNAcentral
CGGCAACCCCUACGUUUAGUUGCUAACGCGUGAAGGCGAGCACUCUAGACGAACUGCCGUUGACAAAACGGAGGAAGGUGGGGAUGACGUCAAAUCAUCAUGCCCCUUAUGUUCUGGGCUACACACGUGCUACAAUGGCCGGUACAGACGGACGCAAAGCCGCGAGGUGGAGCAAAUCCUAAAAAGCCGGUCUCAGUUCGGAUUGCAGGCUGCAAUUCGCCUGCAUGAAGUCGGAAUCGCUAGUAAUCGCAGGUCAGCAUACUGCGGUGAAUACGUUCCCGGGCCUU